Oncorhynchus tshawytscha (Chinook salmon) is the source of this 1189-nucleotide long non-coding RNA. Lineage: Eukaryota; Metazoa; Chordata; Actinopteri; Salmoniformes; Salmonidae. The record is from Ensembl.
AGGAAGUGAAAGUCACUUCCAACCUUAUGUUACAGCCACCAGAAAAACAAAUAGGGCAGACAAAGCAACCAACCAUCAUUCACAGUUCUUGGAUCUAAAUCAACUCAUCCCCAAAAGAGAAAAAGAAAAACAGGAUAAAUAUCGGAAUACAUUUUGGAAGAGUGAAGCUGAAAUGAACGCCGUUCUCAUGGACUGGUAACGUUAGGUAAUGGAGGUACAUAUCCUGGACCCACCUAUAAUCCCUUCACCUGGCUCUAUAAAGUGGUCCAUUGUCCAGAAUACACCUACAGUUGAAGUGCAGUCUUUUCUGCAUUGGUAUCUACCCGGAUGUUGUUGUGGGCUAGGAGAUGGCAUGACAAAUACCUCCUGCAGGUGAAGAAAGGUAGAAGCUUCUGGAGGACUGCAGUCAUCCACUUCCUUAUCUGAGCCCCAGGACUAAAGGUCAAAGGGUGACAGACACACAGACAAAACCAGGGAGACCAUGCAAACCAGCCUGGUCUCAUAGACUAACAUAGUAAACGUAAAGCCGCAACACUCAAAUUAUGAUAUGAUAUGUUACAUAAGACAAAAGGUUACUUAAGGCAAAAUCUAAAGUAGGGUGGUUGGUCGGGCGCAAGUCAAAGUUUGCGUGUUCGAAUCUCAUUACAGACAACUUUAGAAAUGUAGCUACUUUGUAACCACUUAGCAUGUUAGCUAACCCUUCCCCUAACCUAGCUAAAGUUAGCCAUUGGAAUUCAUAACAUGAUACAUUUGCAAAUUCGUAACAUUGUAUGAAUUGUAACUAAUAACGUAUCAUAUGACAUGGAUAUCCACAAAUGAAUACAUAUCACACUAUCAUACUAAUUGGAGUGUUCCAGAUGUACUUUUACUAUGUUAUGUCGACCCGAGUCCAGGCUGUGCAAAAAGGCAAAGACGGGUAGCAGGGAAUCAUAGAUGAGUUCAUAGGCAACACAUGAACACUGAGUGAGACUACAUUGAUAAAGAUAGGUAGUGGGGGAAAAAAUGAACCAGAAAUGCAUAUGUAGUGGAGGAGAGGUCUUUUUAAAGUGGAGGUAAGAGGUGCUGUGCAUCUGGAGGAUUCAUGGGGCUGGUAGCAAAGAGAGCAAAGGCAUAUGGGUAGGAUGGCCAGGACUGGCAGGGUUUCAGGGGAGAAGAGUGCUGAUAUCUCAUAACUGUCAAAAUGGACACA